RNAcentral lists this ribosomal RNA (585 nucleotides) under Providencia rettgeri. Its description in RNAcentral is "partial 23S ribosomal RNA". It matches the Rfam family "Bacterial large subunit ribosomal RNA", at positions 1446 to 2015 of the family's 2925-position model. Lineage: Bacteria; Pseudomonadati; Pseudomonadota; Gammaproteobacteria; Enterobacterales; Morganellaceae. The record is from RNAcentral.
GGUGGUAACUGCGAUGGGGGAACGGAGAAGGCUAGGUUGUCCGGGCGACGGUCGUCCCGGUUCAAGCAGGUAGGCAGAGUGAUUAGGCAAAUCCGGUCACUUAAUGCUGAGAUGUGAUGACGAACCACCAAGGUGGUGAAGCAAUUGAUGCCCCGCUUCCAGGAAAAGCCUCUAAGCUUCAGGUUACCAACAAUCGUACCCCAAACCGACACAGGUGGUCAGGUAGAGAAUACUCAGGCGCUUGAGAGAACUCGGGUGAAGGAACUAGGCAAAAUGGUGCCGUAACUUCGGGAGAAGGCACGCUGGCGGUAGGUAAAGUCCCUCGCGGACAGAGCUGAAGCCAGUCGAAGAUACCAGCUGGCUGCAACUGUUUAUUAAAAACACAGCACUGUGCAAACACGAAAGUGGACGUAUACGGUGUGACGCCUGCCCGGUGCUGGAAGGUUAAUUGAUGGGGUCAGCCGUAAGGCGAAGCUCCUGAUCGAAGCCCCAGUAAACGGCGGCCGUAACUAUAACGGUCCUAAGGUAGCGAAAUUCCUUGUCGGGUAAGUUCCGACCUGCACGAAUGGCGUAAUGAUGGCCAGG